GGGAAAGUGUGCUAUUUGAAUUAUAACAUCUCAUGAGGCACAGUUACAGAGUCAGUAGGACUGUGCUGCCACCUAUUGGUGACAUUGGGUGUCCAAAAUGAAGGUCAGUCUAAUGAACUAUUCCAUGGUCUUUGCUUUUGCAUAGUUUGUGCUUGCUGUUUAAUAAUCACCACUCUGUCAUGGAAACUAGCAUGUAUAGACUUCAAUUAAACUAUUUAUUAAAAAGAAAUAUGUACCUGUAUGAUAUUAUUCUGUACCCGCAGCAGUUUGGAAAACAAAUGGAUUGAUGAUUCAGCUGUGGGCUCCAUCUUCUGGCGAGACGCGGGAAUUCAUUUGGCAGCACCCACACAGUACAUCAGGGAAGAGCAACUUCGGUCCUGGAGGUCCACUGUCCUGCAGAGUUUAGCUGCAACUCUAAUCAAACACACCUGAACAAGCUAAUCAAUCUCUUCAAGACUAGCUGUCUUGAUCGACGUUGUCUAUCACUGCUCUAAGCUGUUGAGUGUACAUCGGUUGUGCACUUGUUAUUGAGGUGCAUUCUGGGAAUGAGUGCACUCGAUAACAUCCACUAUGGUUUCGGGAACCACUGCAAAUGACUGUCCCCUUAAAUAUUGCGCUAUUUAGGAUUAUAGGGAGCGAAUUCAGACACAGUUUCAUUCAUAUUACACACUAUAUAGAGUGUCACUCUAUAUAGAACAUUAAUGGCCACAAAGCAACAGAAGGAAGCAAGUUUUCUUCCAGGACAACCUUGUAUGAGGCUUGAUUCACACACCCUUCACAUGUGCCCGAAUUCAGCCUUGCUGAAGCACCACAGAUCAUCACCGAUCCUCCACCAAAUUUCACAGUGGGUUUGAGACAAUGUGGCUUAUAGGCCUCUGUGUAAUCAUUAGAUGAGCAGGUGUUGGGCAAAGCUAAAUAUUGGACUCAUCAGAGAAGGUCCAAUCUGUAUGGUCUUUUGCAAACCUCAGCCUGGAUCUUCUUUGCUUCUCAUUGAUGAAGGGUUUUAUCUUCAGCCCUCUUCAGUAUUUCAGCCCUGCCCCUAGGUGCCUGUUUCAAACUGUCCUCGCUGUACACUUCGUCCCAUUUGCCAUUCUUUUUGUAGGUCACUUGAUGUCAUCAUACAGUUGAGUGAUGUUCAAAUGAGUUGGCAGUCAUCCC
Cyprinus carpio carpio is the source of this 1158-nucleotide long non-coding RNA. The record is from Ensembl. Lineage: Eukaryota; Metazoa; Chordata; Actinopteri; Cypriniformes; Cyprinidae.